GAUGAACGCUGGCGGCGUGCCUAAUACAUGCCAGUCGAGCGAACAGACGAGGAGCUUGCUCCUCUGACGUUAGCGGCGGACGGGUGAGUAACACGUGGAUAACCUACCUAUAAGACUGGGAUAACUUCGGGAAACCGGAGCUAAUACCGGAUAAUAUAUUGAACCGCAUGGUUCAAUAGUGAAAGACGGUUUUGCUGUCACUUAUAGAUGGAUCCGCGCCGCAUUAGCUAGUUGGCAAGGUAACGGCUUACCAAGGCAACGAUGCGUAGCCGACCUGAGAGGGUGAUCGGCCACACUGGAACUGAGACACGGUCCAGACUCCUACGGGAGGCAGCAGUAGGGAAUCUUCCGCAAUGGGCGAAAGCCUGACGGAGCAACGCCGCGUGAAUGAUGAAGGUCUUCGGAUCGUAAAACUCUGUUAUUAGGGAAGAACAAAUGUGUAAGUAACUAUGCACGUCUUGACGGUACCUAAUCAGAAAGCCACGGCUAACUACGUG
This 497-nucleotide ribosomal RNA is filed under the name uncultured bacterium. Its description in RNAcentral is "partial 16S ribosomal RNA". It matches the Rfam family "Bacterial small subunit ribosomal RNA", at positions 28 to 507 of the family's 1533-position model. The record is from RNAcentral.